AGUUACAAAUGAAUGUAUAUUUUCUAAUUUAGAAGCGGGAGUUGAGGUGCUUUUCGUCGUCCUGCUAUCCGGUUUAUUUUUUGAAAUCUGCCCUCUAAGUGGCUUAAAAUUGUUCCCGUGUACAUCCUUUUUGUUCAACACAUAAGCGCCAGCACGGUCUUCAGUUUCUCAUCUCCCCCUGCUCUCUCUCUCUCUCAUCUCUUUACAUUGUUCAAGGUAUAAAUCUCUCUUUUCCCCUUCGUUUUCUCCCUAAGUUUGGUAUUGUGGGCUGUUGAUUUUGUUCCUGGGUUUUUGGUAUUCGAGAGUUCUGGUCGAAUUGAACUCAAGCCCAAGUUGCUUCCACUAUAACUCUUCACACCAAAGCAAGACUAGAGAAGAUGAGGUCGAUUUUCUUUUUGCGGCUGCUGGGUGAUUCAUUUUCUCCCCCCUGCUGUUCUCCGUAUUGGCAUUGCUGAAACAUAAAAUUACGAGUUCUGCUGAGAGGCGAGACUUGCUUUUGCUGAAAUUUCAUGUUCGUUUGUGUGUGCUACUCUGGUGAUUAGUCUUCUCAAAGAAAUAACUCUGACUGGCUGAGAAGCUGUGCCAACUGAUUACCCGUGAAUCAUACGAACUCAACCAAAGUUGUCCCGAGACAAGAUCUUUGCAGGUAACUUGUGGAAUUAGUUGAGGUGUGCAUAAGCUGGCCUGGACACUAUGGUUAUUAAAAAAAGGAAUAAUUCGUCAGAGAUAGUUAAUUGGGGCUGCUGGAUAACGGAGAAAACAAUGAACAUGCUUGUUGACAAAUUCGACCCUACAUAUGACAGACAUAGCAGGAGGAGUGGGCGAACAGCUUUUAUUUGAAAAUUUAUAUACUGCCAUGAUUGCCUUUUUGCUCUUGUUGAAUCUCCUUUGUAGCAGUAGCUUCAUGUUUUACUGAGUUUAGGGAUCAUAUAGGAAUCAAAGUAGUAAGUUUGCUUUUCCUUUGUCUCUCUUUAGUCGUAGUUGCCCAUAUAUAUAACCUUGAUUCUUGUGGCACCAUUAUAUACGUGCGUGAAAGUGGUAGAGAAUGUUGGCUUCAGAAGUUUUACUCGGUAUGCUUGGGCCCAUUGUUGCCCGGUAACAGUAGUGUUAUGCAAGUACUAAUUUAAUUUAAGAUUCUGGUCAUGUGUUCUUCCUU
This is a non-coding RNA of Nicotiana tabacum (common tobacco), 1156 nucleotides long. The record is from RefSeq and is a predicted model, not a curated record. Lineage: Eukaryota; Viridiplantae; Streptophyta; Magnoliopsida; Solanales; Solanaceae.